UACGUAGGGUGCGAGCGUUAAUCGGAAUUACUGGGCGUAAAGCGUGCGUAGGCGGUUCUGCAAGUCAGAUGUGAAAUCCCCGGGCUUAACCUGGGAACUGCGGUUGAAACUACGGAGCUAGAGUGUGGCAGAGGGGGGUGGAAUUCCACGUGUAGCAGUGAAAUGCGUAGAUAUGUGGAGGAAUACCGAUGGCGAAGGCAGCCCCCUGGGUCGACACUGACGCUCACGCACGAAAGCGUGGGUAGCAAACAGG
This 253-nucleotide ribosomal RNA is filed under the name uncultured bacterium. RNAcentral's name for it is "partial 16S ribosomal RNA". It matches the Rfam family "Bacterial small subunit ribosomal RNA", at positions 524 to 776 of the family's 1533-position model. The record is from RNAcentral.